This 308-nucleotide long non-coding RNA is filed under the name Mytilus galloprovincialis (Mediterranean mussel). The record is from RNAcentral. Lineage: Eukaryota; Metazoa; Mollusca; Bivalvia; Mytilida; Mytilidae.
CGUCCGGCGUCCGUCGUCCGUCGUCCGUCGUCCGUCGUCGUUAACUUUUACAAAAAUCUUCUCCUCUGAAACUACUGGGCCAAAUUUAACCAAACUUGGCACAAUCAUCAUUGGGGUAUCUAGUUUAAAAAAUGUGUUCGGUUACCCGGCCAACCAACCAAGAUGGCCGCCAUGGCUAAAAAUAGAACAUAGGGGUCAAAUGCAGUUUUUGGCUUAUAACUCUGAAACUGAAGCAUUUAGAGCAAAUCUGACAUGGGGGUUAAAUUGUUUAUUAAGUCAAGAUCUAUCUGCCCUAAAAUUUUCAGACG